Molecule: ribosomal RNA, 497 nt
Filed under: uncultured bacterium
Lineage: Bacteria
Description: partial 16S ribosomal RNA
Rfam family: Bacterial small subunit ribosomal RNA
Source: RNAcentral
GAUGAACGCUGGCGGCGUGCCUAAUACAUGCAAGUCGAGCGAACAGACGAGGAGCUUGCUCCUUUGACGUUAGCGGCGGACGGGUGAGUAACACGUAGGUAACCUACCUAUAAGACUGGGAUAACUUCGGGAAACCGGAGCUAAUACCGGAUAAUAUUUCGAACCGCAUGGUUCGAUAGUGAAAGAUGGCUUUGCUAUCACUUAUAGAUGGACCUGCGCCGUAUUAGCUAGUUGGUAAGGUAACGGCUUACCAAGGCAACGAUACGUAGCUGACCUGAGAGGGUGAUCGGCCACACUGGAACUGAGACACGGUCCAGACUCCUACGGGAGGCAGCAGUAGGGAAUCUUCCGCAAUGGGCGAAAGCCUGACGGAGCAACGCCGCGUGAGUGAUGAAGGUCUUCGGAUCGUAAAACUCUGUUAUUAGGGAAGAACAAACGUGUAAGUAACUGUGCACGUCUUGACGGUACCUAAUCAGAAAGCCACGGCUAACUACGUG